GCCUCCCCCGCCGCGCGCCGGGGUUUUUCCAGGGCUCAACUGGAGCAUGGCGGUGCCGCCUCCCUCACUUCCCCACUCAGACCCCGGCCUCCUGCGCCCGGGCUCGGGCGGCGACCCCGGCAAGACCCCGAGAUCACCUGCGGGGAGCUGUGCCCUCUCCAGAUGCGCCGCUCGCUCCGUCCCUCCGGGCCCCUAAGCCCCACGUGUGCGCGCAAAGUUGACAGUCUCCUGGCCCGCACGCCUCCGCGCUUGGCGCCCCGAGCCCCUCCCGGGCUGCAAGUUGGGGGACGGGGGUCAGGCGGGUGCGGAGCCGGGCCGCCAAUGCCUCCAGCAGUAAUGGGGGAGCCUGACUUCGCUGAAAGGGCCCCUCCUCCAGUUGCAUCUUUGUCAGCUCUAUCUGCUUCCUCCCAGUGUUAAGGCCCCCUCCCUCCCAAGCCAUCGGAGCAUGAGGAAGCCUUGGUUCCACACAGCUGGGCUUCUUGCUCACAGGCUAACGCAGAUGCCCUUUGCCCUUGUGAAGCUGGUGGGAAGUUGCCGAAGCUGAAACGAAGCCUGUGGCUGGGCACCAGCCCCUGGAAUAGAGGAACUUUCACCGAGAGCAAGCUGCAACAUUGGGGCUGCCUACAGAGGGAACAAGGAAUUGAGGCCUCUCCCUGAUGCCCCCAAGAAACUGAAUUCUGCCAACCACCUCAUGAGCUUGCAAGCAGAUUCCUCCCCAGUCAAGCCUCCGAUGAGACCUCAGCCCUAGCCAACACCUUGAUGGCAGCCCUGCAGAAGUCCCAGUCCAGGAUGUCCAGACUUCUGUGAGAAACUGUGAUAUAAUAAAUGUGUACUGCUUUAAGCGGU
Molecule: long non-coding RNA, 846 nt
Organism: Myotis lucifugus (little brown bat)
Lineage: Eukaryota; Metazoa; Chordata; Mammalia; Chiroptera; Vespertilionidae
Exons: 3
Source: RefSeq, a predicted model, not a curated record